Molecule: long non-coding RNA, 746 nt
Organism: Juglans regia (Persian walnut)
Lineage: Eukaryota; Viridiplantae; Streptophyta; Magnoliopsida; Fagales; Juglandaceae
Exons: 3
Source: RefSeq, a predicted model, not a curated record
CCCCCGCAUUUCCUCCCUCCCUGUUUCUUUCCUUUUUCUUCCCCCACCCCCCGUACUCCUCUGCCCUAAGCAUUUCCCAAGAAGCCCUGCACUGAGAUUUUGAGUUUCUCCCCCGAAGCCCCGAGCUCAUCUGUUGUGCAAUUUCGAGUUCGCAAGUGAUUUCUUCUUCUUUGAGAUUUCUUCUUCUUCUUCUUGUUCUUCUUCUCUAAGAUUUUUUCUUCUUCUCUAAGGUUUCUUCUUCUUCUUCUUCUCUGCGAGUUCGAACACACAGAUUGAAGCCCUCAAUCCACCGACGCGAAGCCCUCAGAUCUGCGAGAGGGAGAUAUGCGGAAGGGAUCAGCGUGCUUCAUUUGCGCCACUGUAAAGAUGGUUUUUCUCUCGUCGCAGAGAUCUGCGUGCUUGUUUCUUGCCAUGGUAAGGGAGAAGCGAAAUGCGAAUUUUUUGUUUGGCCGGAUAUACUUCACAAACUAGAAGAGAGCAUUUGUACAAGAGAGAAUAAAGUUUGGAAGAUGUGGGAUGAUGUAUUGUUGUGCGAGUAUGAAGUUCGAGAAAUGGAAGAUAAAGUACAAGAGAGAGAGAGAGAGAGACAACUCUUCAGAAGGAAAAGCGAAAAUUAUUGUAUUUAUACUGAAUUGUCACAUUUGUAAUAGUUUUGGCUUGGUUCAAAUAAAUAGUAUGUAAAUAGCACGUUGUAUGGAGUAUAUGAAAUUUUUUGAAUGCACCAAUUGUAAUGGUACUUCUCAAGU